RNAcentral lists this long non-coding RNA (229 nucleotides) under Rosa chinensis. RNAcentral's name for it is "sRNA RchiOBHm_Chr6g0281351". Lineage: Eukaryota; Viridiplantae; Streptophyta; Magnoliopsida; Rosales; Rosaceae. The record is from RNAcentral.
UGUGUUUGUGAAUUUUUUAGACGAUUGGAUUUUAUUUUGAAACUGAUUGGAUUGAUUUUUGUGGGUUCUAGAGUUGACUUUUCAUUCUUGAACCUUCUUUGAUGGCUUUGGCUCACAAGUACAAUCAGGAGAAGAUGAUUUGCAGAAAUGUGCAAAUCAUGUCGUAUAGCAAAGCUGAGCUCACUUAUUAUACAGAAUCCCCAGAUUCACGAAAUUAGGUAUUUCAGGU